AGGAGCUGUAUGAGGCGAAAGUCUCACGUACAGUUUUGAAUCACUAGCCGUUGCAGCGUGAAAUCGAGCAAUGUAUCCCGUGAAGGCGGGUGUAAACGAACUUUGAGUGACUGAGCGGACGGCUAAGUGUAAC
Molecule: non-coding RNA, 133 nt
Organism: Candidatus Thiomargarita nelsonii
Lineage: Bacteria; Pseudomonadati; Pseudomonadota; Gammaproteobacteria; Thiotrichales; Thiotrichaceae
Source: Rfam